CACGUAGGGGACGAGCGUUGUCCGGAUUCAUUGGGCGUAAAGCGCGCGUAGGCGGCUCGGAAAGUCGGUCGUGAAAUGCCGGGGCUCAACCCCGGGACUGCGUCCGAUACUCCUGAGCUGGAGGCAGGUAGGGGAGAUCGGAAUUCCUGGUGUAGCGGUGAAAUGCGCAGAUAUCAGGAGGAACACCGGUGGCGAAGGCGGAUCUCUGGGCCUUGCCUGACGCUGAGGCGCGAAAGCUAGGGGAGCGAACAGG
RNAcentral lists this ribosomal RNA (253 nucleotides) under uncultured bacterium. Its description in RNAcentral is "partial 16S ribosomal RNA". It matches the Rfam family "Bacterial small subunit ribosomal RNA", at positions 524 to 776 of the family's 1533-position model. The record is from RNAcentral.